AGCUGACUUAGUUUAAAAAAAACGUUACAUUGUGGAUGUAAAGAUAAGUCUUAGUUUAGUUAGUUA
RNAcentral lists this transfer RNA (66 nucleotides) under Mactra sp. WB-F. Its description in RNAcentral is "tRNA-His". It matches the Rfam family "tRNA". From Rfam's summary of the family: Transfer RNA (tRNA) molecules are approximately 80 nucleotides in length. Their secondary structure includes four short double-helical elements and three loops (D, anti-codon, and T loops). Further hydrogen bonds mediate the characteristic L-shaped molecular structure. tRNAs have two regions of fundamental functional importance: the anti-codon, which is responsible for specific mRNA codon recognition, and the 3' end, to which the tRNAs corresponding amino acid is attached (by aminoacyl-tRNA synthetases). tRNAs cope with the degeneracy of the genetic code in two manners: having more than one tRNA (with a specific anti-codon) for a particular amino acid; and 'wobble' base-pairing, i.e. permitting non-standard base-pairing at the 3rd anti-codon position. Lineage: Eukaryota; Metazoa; Mollusca; Bivalvia; Venerida; Mactridae. The record is from RNAcentral.